UAUCUCUGUAGAGUCUGCAUAUCAAUAAGCGGAGGAAAAGAAAGCUAACAAGGAUUCCCCUUAGUAACGGCGAGUGAAGCGGGAAGAGCUCAAAUUUGAAAUCUUCAAGGUUCUACCUUGACGAAUUGUAGUUUAAAGAAGUGUUUUCUGUUAGAUGAGUAGCAAAAGUUCCUUGGAAUGGGACAUCAUAGAGGGUGAGAAUCCCGUAUUUGGUUAUUCAUUCUAGCUUUGUGAUACACUUUCAAAGAGUCGGAUUGUUUGGGAAUGCAGUCCAAAAUGGGUGGUAAAUUUCAUCUAAAGCUAAAUAUUGGCGAGAGACCGAUAGCGAACAAGUACCGUGAGGGAAAGAUGAAAAGAACUUUGAAAAGAGAGUUAAACAGUACGUGAAAUUGUCAAAAGGGAAGCGUUUGACACCAGUGUUGUUUUUCCGAAAAUCAAUUACGAAUGGCUUGAUUUUGUGUUGUAUUGACCUUAUCAGCUUUCUUGCAUCUUUUUUCGAGUCUUUCUUAAUGCACUUUUUGGUUAACAAGUCAACAUCAAUUUCUUUUGUUGUAAAAGAGUAUGCGGAAGGUGGCUUUCUUUUCGGAGAAAGUGUUUAUAGCCCUAUACUUCUACAAUCGGAGAGAUUGAGGUCUGCAGCGUAGAUCCUUCGGGGCUAGAUACACUUGUGCUAAGUUGUAGCUUUUCAUAGACAACUUGUUGACUAUGUUUAGUCAUGCGGCUUACUCGCUUAGUGCUAUUUUACCUACGCUUAGGAUGUUGACUGAUAUGUAGUCGUA
RNAcentral lists this ribosomal RNA (779 nucleotides) under uncultured Neocallimastigales. Its description in RNAcentral is "partial large subunit ribosomal RNA". It matches the Rfam family "Eukaryotic large subunit ribosomal RNA", at positions 24 to 644 of the family's 3401-position model. The record is from RNAcentral. Lineage: Eukaryota; Fungi; Neocallimastigomycota; Neocallimastigomycetes; Neocallimastigales.